AACGAACGCUGGCGGCAGGCCUAACACACGCAAGUCGAACGCCGUAGCAAUACGGAGUGGCAGACGGGUGCGUAACACGUGGGAACAUACCCUUUGGUUCGGAAUAACUCAGGGAAACUUGAGCUAAUACCGGAUAAGCCCUUACGGGGAAAGAUUUAUCGCCAAAGGAUUGGCCCGCGUCUGAUUAGCUAGUUGGUGAGGUAACGGCUCACCAAGGCGACGAUCAGUAGCUGGUCUGAGAGGAUGAUCGGCCACACUGGGACUGAGACACGGCCCAGACUCCUACGGGAGGCAGCAGUGGGGAAUAUUGGACAAUGGGCGCAAGCCUGAUCCAGCCAUGCCGCGUGAGUGAUGAAGGCCUUAGGGUUGUAAAGCUCUUUUACCCGGGAAGAUAAUGACGGUACCGGGAGAAUAAGCCCC
RNAcentral lists this ribosomal RNA (420 nucleotides) under uncultured bacterium. RNAcentral describes it as "bacterial SSU rRNA". It matches the Rfam family "Bacterial small subunit ribosomal RNA", at positions 29 to 494 of the family's 1533-position model. The record is from RNAcentral.